AAAAUGCGAUAAGUAAUGUGAAUUGCAGAAUUCAGUGAAUCAUCGAAUCUUUGAACGCACAUUGCGCCCGCCAGUAUUCUGGCGGGCAUGCCUGUUCGAGCGUCAUUUCAACCCUCAAGCCCCCGGGUUUGGUGUUGGGGAUCGGGCUGCGGUUCUACCGCGUCCCGGCCCCGAAAUCUAGUGGCGGUCUCGCUGCAGCCUCCAUUGCGUAGUAGCUAACACCUCGCAACUGGAACGCGGCGCGGCCAAGCCGUUAAACCCCCAACUUCUGAAUGUUGACCUCUGAUCAGGUAGGAAUACCCACUGAACUUAAGC
Molecule: unclassified non-coding RNA, 315 nt
Filed under: plant metagenome
Description: partial contains 5.8S ribosomal RNA, internal transcribed spacer 2, and large subunit ribosomal RNA
Rfam family: 5.8S ribosomal RNA (bases 1-105)
Source: RNAcentral